This 159-nucleotide non-coding RNA is filed under the name Streptomyces zinciresistens K42. RNAcentral's name for it is "Streptomyces sRNA scr5239". It matches the Rfam family "Streptomyces sRNA scr5239". From Rfam's summary of the family: It inhibits agarase DagA expression by direct base pairing to the dagA coding region, and it represses translation of methionine synthase metE (SCO0985) at the 5' end of its open reading frame. Lineage: Bacteria; Bacillati; Actinomycetota; Actinomycetes; Kitasatosporales; Streptomycetaceae. The record is from Rfam by way of RNAcentral.
CUUCCGUCUUCCCCGCACAGGAAGGCGGACCGAGGAACCGGAGCUCUCUGCCCUGACUGCCCCGGCUCCUCAUCCUUCGGCCGGCCGGGACCGCACACCCGACGGCCGAUGUUGCUCCGGGCUGCGGUGCCGGGAGGGUUGAGGGUCCCUCCCAGGCGC